CAGAUGAACGCUAGCGCAGCCUAAUACAUGCAAGUCGUACGGAUUUCAUCUUCGAAUGGAUGAGAGUGGCGCACGGGUGCGUAACGCGUAUGCAACCUACCUGUUACAGGGAGAUAGCCCGGGGAAACUCGGAUUAAUAUCCCAUAGUAUUAUUUUACUGCAUGGUAGAAUGAUUAAAGCCUUCGGGUGGUAACAGACGGGCAUGCGUAGGAUUAGCUAGUUGGUGAGGUAACGGCUCACCAAGGCGACGAUCCUUAGGGGUUCUGAGAGGAAGGUCCCCCACACUGGCACUGAGAUACGGGCCAGACUCCUACGGGAGGCAGCAGUAGGGAAUAUUGGUCAAUGGGCGAGAGCCUGAACCAGCCAUGCCGCGUGCAGGAAGACGGCGUUCUGCGUUGUAAACUGCUUUUAUCUGGGAAGAAAAAGCCCUUGCGAGGGAAAUUGCCGGUACCAGAGGAAUAAGCACCGGCUAACUCCGUGCCAGCAGCCGCGGUAAUACGGAGGGUGCAAGCGUUGUCCGGAUUUAUUGGGUUUAAAGGGUGCGUAGGCGGCCAAUUAAGUCAGUGGUGAAAGUUUCCGGCUCAACCGGGAGACUGCNAUUGAUACUGAUUGGCUUGAGUUAUGGAGGGGUACAUGGAAUUUACGGUGUAGCGGUGAAAUGCAUAGAUACCGUAAGGAACACCGAUAGCNAAGGCAUUGUACUGGCCAUAAACUGACGCUGAGGCACGAAAGCGUGGGUAGCGAACAGGAUUAGAUACCCUGGUAGUCCACGCCGUAAACGAUAGAUCACUCGCUUUAAAG
This 801-nucleotide ribosomal RNA is filed under the name Sphingobacterium sp. GWS-SE-H150. RNAcentral's name for it is "bacterial SSU rRNA". It matches the Rfam family "Bacterial small subunit ribosomal RNA", at positions 26 to 827 of the family's 1533-position model. The record is from RNAcentral. Lineage: Bacteria; Pseudomonadati; Bacteroidota; Sphingobacteriia; Sphingobacteriales; Sphingobacteriaceae.